This 288-nucleotide ribosomal RNA is filed under the name uncultured bacterium. Its description in RNAcentral is "partial 16S ribosomal RNA". It matches the Rfam family "Bacterial small subunit ribosomal RNA", at positions 28 to 312 of the family's 1533-position model. The record is from RNAcentral.
GAUGAACGCUAGCGGCAGGCCUAAUACAUGCAAGUCGAACGGUAACAUGAGUAGCAAUACUUGAUGACGAGUGGCGCACGGGUGCGUAACGCGUAUGCAAUCUACCUUUAACUGGUGAAUAGCCCGAAGAAAUUCGGAUUAAUACACCAUAGUAUUGUUUGUUGGCAUCAACAGACAAUUAAAACUCCGGUGGUUAAAGAUGAGCAUGCGUGACAUUAGCUAGUUGGUGAGGUAAUGGCUCACCAAGGCUACGAUGUCUAGGGGAUCUGAGAGGAUUAACCCCNCACU